GUGCUGAUUUCAACAGCAUAUAUACUAAAGUUGAAAUGAUACAGAGAAUAUUAGCCUGGCCCCUAUGCAAGGAUGGCAUGCAAAUUCAUGAAGCAUUCCAUAUUUUU
Molecule: small nuclear RNA, 107 nt
Organism: Vombatus ursinus (common wombat)
Lineage: Eukaryota; Metazoa; Chordata; Mammalia; Diprotodontia; Vombatidae
Source: Ensembl